This is a non-coding RNA of Orbilia ellipsospora, 102 nucleotides long. The record is from the annotation of a GenBank genome assembly. NCBI's taxonomy places the organism in Eukaryota, Fungi, Ascomycota, Orbiliomycetes, Orbiliales, Orbiliaceae.
GGUCGCGUGGCCUAAUGGCAAGGCGUCAGUUUUCGGUAUUCAUCUGGGAAACAGUUGGAUGUCAUCCACUGAAGAUUGCGAGUUCGAUCCUCGUCGCGAUCA